CGGCAUCUCAAAUAUGAACAACUAUAACCGGCAUCACUAAUAUGAACAACAUACCUAAAUUUCAUAUAAGUAGAUUUAAGCAUAUAGUUGCCAUACAUAGGGCAUAGUCGGACUCAAAUAUGUAAAUGUACACAUAGGCAUAUCAAUAAAUCAUUCUCUGGCCUUGUCGGGUAUCAAUAUAUCAUCAUAAAUAUCCUUCGGUCUAUUCGGAUAUCAAUAUCAUCAUAAUCAUUCUCCAGCCUUGUCGGGUAUCAUAUAUCAUUACAAUAUCCC
This 273-nucleotide long non-coding RNA is filed under the name Capsicum annuum. RNAcentral describes it as "long non-coding RNA (CANN_LNC017262)". The record is from RNAcentral. Lineage: Eukaryota; Viridiplantae; Streptophyta; Magnoliopsida; Solanales; Solanaceae.